This 603-nucleotide ribosomal RNA is filed under the name uncultured bacterium. RNAcentral describes it as "bacterial SSU rRNA". It matches the Rfam family "Bacterial small subunit ribosomal RNA", at positions 338 to 1414 of the family's 1533-position model. The record is from RNAcentral.
CCUACGGGAGGCAGCAGUGGGGAAUCUUGCGCAAUGGGCGAAAGCCUGACGCAGCAACGCCGCGUGCGGGAAGAAGGCUUUCGGGCUGUAAACCGCUUUCAGCAGGAACGAAAAUGACGGUACCUGCAGAAGAAGGAGCGGCCAACUAUGUGCCAGCAGCCGCGGUGAUACAUAGGCUUCAAGCGUUGUCCGGAUUUAUUGGGCGUAAAGAGUUCGUAGGCGGUCGAGUAAGUCGGGUGUGAAAAUUCUGGGCUCAACCCCAGAGACGCCACCCGAUACUGCUUGACUUGAGUUCGAUAGGGGAGUGGGGAAUUCCUAGUGUAGCGGUGAAAUGCGCAGAUAUUAGGAGGAACACCGGUGGCGAAGGCGCCGACUCUGGAUCGAUACUGACGCUGAGGAACGAAAGCAUGGGUAGCAAACAGGAUUAGAUACCCUGGUAGUCCAUGCCGUAAACGGUGGGCACUAGGUGUGGGUUUCUAUUAACGAAAUCCGCGCCGUCGCUAACGCAUUAAGUGCCCGCCUGGGGNGGACGUCGCGAGACGAAACUACAANAGUAAGUAGUAGCGUUGUAGACGUUGCCGACGGCGACGACGAGGGAGGAGG